Molecule: long non-coding RNA, 246 nt
Filed under: Homo sapiens (human)
Lineage: Eukaryota; Metazoa; Chordata; Mammalia; Primates; Hominidae
Description: HSALNT0388808
Source: RNAcentral
CCCCCGAUGCCGCAGGAGCCCUUCAUGGAGCUGGAGGAGGUGAACUGGCGGCUGCAGGUGCUCAUGGUGCCGAGGAGGGAGGUGAGUGAGCGAGCAGUUGGCUGAGUGAAGAGAAGGUGCUCAGACAGGCCCCAACAGCCCCUGCUGGAGGCUCCACUGCUCUUCCUGGGAUCAACUGUUCCUAGAAGAGAAGCAGGACCUCUCUCACCCCACCCCCAACCUUGACUGUCACCAAAGAAGAAGCCA